Molecule: unclassified non-coding RNA, 353 nt
Filed under: Spizellomyces dolichospermus
Lineage: Eukaryota; Fungi; Chytridiomycota; Chytridiomycetes; Spizellomycetales; Spizellomycetaceae
Also listed under: 1 other name
Description: partial internal transcribed spacer region
Rfam family: Eukaryotic small subunit ribosomal RNA (bases 1-46)
Source: RNAcentral
AAGUCGUAACAAGGUAACCGUAGGUGAACCUGCGGUUGGAUCAUUAAAAAUUUAAACAGCCUGUCACUGCCAGGUUUUCAGAUUGUACAGCACCGGGCAAGGGAUUGUCCGUGCUGGCCAGGCUGGACCGAGUGCAGUGACUGAUGGCACCACAUUUUGUGAACCGUUCUGUCUUUGGUGGUUGGGUGAAACGCUUUCUUUGGCCUUCGCCUGUCAGCUCUGAUGUAAAAAGUCCGAGCCGUGGACAAGCCACCGACCCUUUGUUUAAACCUUUGUCUUCUAUUCUUUUUUGUCUGACAUUUUUAUUUGUAUUAAUAUACAAACAACUUUUGGCAACGGAUCUCUUGGGUCUC